ACGAGGUGUAGCAAUACACCGAGUUGCGAACGGCUGAGUAAUGGAUAGGAAUCUCCCCAAUGGUGUGGAAUACCUCAUCGAAAGAUGAGCUAAUACCGCAUGACCCGGGCAACCGGAAAAGCGCUUUACCGCGCGCCGAUGGAUGAGCCUAUCUCCCAUCAGGUAGUUGGUAGGGUAAUGGCCUACCAAGCCUAUGACGGGUACCCGCCCUGAGAGGGGAAACGGGCAGAAUGGGACUGAGACACGGCCCAUACACCUACGGGUGGCAGCAACAGGGAAUCGUACGCAAUGGACGAAAGUCUGACGUCGCAAUGCCGCGUGGGGGAUGAAGGCCUUCGGGUCGUAAACUCCUUUUGCCAUAGCUGAGAGGCUAUGGAGAAUAAGUAACUGCUAACUCUGUGCCAGCAGCCGCGGUAAUACAGAGGUUACAAGCGUUAUCCGGAUUUAUUGGGCGUAAAGCGUUUCGUAGGCGGAUUUUUAAGUUACUCUUCAAAGACUACGGCUUAACCGGAGGAAGGGGGGUAAUACUGGAAGUCUUGAAAUAUAGUGGGGUAUCUGGAACUGAUGGUGUAGUAGUGAAAUACGUUGAUAUCAUCAGGAACUCCGAGGGCGAAGGCAGGAUACUAACUAUUUUUUGACGCUGAGGAACGACAGCUAGGGGAGCGAAAGGGAUUAGAGACCCCUGUAGUCCUAGCCGUAAACUUUGCUCGCUAGGGAUUUGGAGUUUACUCCAAGUUCCGUAAGCU
RNAcentral lists this ribosomal RNA (746 nucleotides) under uncultured Eubacterium sp. RNAcentral's name for it is "bacterial SSU rRNA". It matches the Rfam family "Bacterial small subunit ribosomal RNA", at positions 66 to 853 of the family's 1533-position model. Lineage: Bacteria; Bacillati; Bacillota; Clostridia; Eubacteriales; Eubacteriaceae. The record is from RNAcentral.